AGGACGAACGCUGGCGGCGUGCUUAACACAUGCAAGUCGAGCGGAAAGGCCCUUCGGGGUACUCGAGCGGCGAACGGGUGAGUAACACGUGAGUAACCUGCCCCAAACUUUGGGAUAACCCUCGGAAACGGGGGCUAAUACCGGAUAUGACACAGCUUCGCAUGGGGUCUGUGUGGAAAGUUUUUCGGUUUGGGAUGGGCUCGCGGCCUAUCAGCUUGUUGGUGGGGUAAUGGCCUACCAAGGCGACGACGGGUAG
This 256-nucleotide ribosomal RNA is filed under the name uncultured soil bacterium. Its description in RNAcentral is "partial 16S ribosomal RNA". It matches the Rfam family "Bacterial small subunit ribosomal RNA", at positions 26 to 286 of the family's 1533-position model. The record is from RNAcentral.